AGUGAACGCAGGCGGUAGGCCUAACACAUGCAAGUCGAACGGCAGCACAGUAAGAGCUUGCUCUUACGGGUGGCGAGUGGCGGACGGGUGAGGAAUACAUCGGAAUCUACUUUUUCGUGGGGGAUAACGUAGGGAAACUUACGCUAAUACCGCAUACGACCUACGGGUGAAAGCAGGGGAUCUUCGGACCUUGCGCGAUUGAAUGAGCCGAUGUCGGAUUAGCUAGUUGGCGGGGUAAAGGCCCACCAAGGCGACGAUCCGUAGCUGGUCUGAGAGGAUGAUAAGCCACACUGGAACUGGAACACGGUCCAGACUCCUACGGGAGGCAGCAGUGGGGAAUAUUGGACAAUGGGCGCAAGCCUGAUCCAGCCAUACCGCGUGGGUGAAGAAGGCCUUCGGGUUGUAAAGCCCUUUUGUUGGGAAAGAAAAGCAGCAGGUUAAUACCCCGCUGUUCUGACGGUACCCAAAGAAUAAGCACCGGCUAACUUCGUG
This 492-nucleotide ribosomal RNA is filed under the name uncultured bacterium. RNAcentral's name for it is "partial 16S ribosomal RNA". It matches the Rfam family "Bacterial small subunit ribosomal RNA", at positions 29 to 507 of the family's 1533-position model. The record is from RNAcentral.